GGCAUCCACAAUGCUGAUAUGGAUGCCAGCAAGGGAUGUGAGACCUGCUAUGGAGGACCUUGAGGAACCCGCCCCCAAUAGAUAUAUAGGAAGAAAACACCAGUCUCCCAGGACCGACAAGAAAUGAAGAUUGUGAAUCACAGCAGCAGAAUGGAUAUCCGCAUGCCUUGUGCUGCCAACAUCCCUCAGGGAGACCGGAAGAGCUGUGAUUGCACUCCCUAACGAAGUCAACGUUUUUUUAAAUAAGGUGCGGAAAACACGGCCUUGCUCUUUACUUCACUGGGCAAUAAUCUCCUUAGUGAGCCUUUUUUCCACUGCAAACUACCUUCCAGGAUUAGCCCAGAACAGACAACAAAUGUACCCUGCAAACAAAAACGUAUGGAAAUACCUGA
This is a long non-coding RNA of Mastomys coucha (southern multimammate mouse), 392 nucleotides long. RefSeq lists it as uncharacterized. The transcript has 2 exons. The record is from RefSeq and is a predicted model, not a curated record. Lineage: Eukaryota; Metazoa; Chordata; Mammalia; Rodentia; Muridae.